RNAcentral lists this ribosomal RNA (489 nucleotides) under Escherichia coli. RNAcentral describes it as "partial 23S ribosomal RNA". It matches the Rfam family "Bacterial large subunit ribosomal RNA", at positions 344 to 838 of the family's 2925-position model. The record is from RNAcentral. Lineage: Bacteria; Pseudomonadati; Pseudomonadota; Gammaproteobacteria; Enterobacterales; Enterobacteriaceae.
GGAAAGGCGCGCGAUACAGGGUGACAGCCCCGUACACAAAAAUGCACAUGCUGUGAGCUCGAUGAGUAGGGCGGGACACGUGGUAUCCUGUCUGAAUAUGGGGGGACCAUCCUCCAAGGCUAAAUACUCCUGACUGACCGAUAGUGAACCAGUACCGUGAGGGAAAGGCGAAAAGAACCCCGGCGAGGGGAGUGAAAAAGAACCUGAAACCGUGUACGUACAAGCAGUGGGAGCACGCUUAGGCGUGUGACUGCGUACCUUUUGUAUAAUGGGUCAGCGACUUAUAUUCUGUAGCAAGGUUAACCGAAUAGGGGAGCCGAAGGGAAACCGAGUCUUAACUGGGCGUUAAGUUGCAGGGUAUAGACCCGAAACCCGGUGAUCUAGCCAUGGGCAGGUUGAAGGUUGGGUAACACUAACUGGAGGACCGAACCGACUAAUGUUGAAAAAUUAGCGGAUGACUUGUGGCUGGGGGUGAAAGGCCAAUCAAAC